This is a non-coding RNA of Sus scrofa (pig), 9969 nucleotides long. The record is from RefSeq and is a predicted model, not a curated record. NCBI's taxonomy places the organism in Eukaryota, Metazoa, Chordata, Mammalia, Artiodactyla, Suidae.
CUUUUUAUCUGAAUAUUAUAUUUUUUUCUUUCCCUGCAUUGCCUCUGUUUCUUCAAAUUCCUCCUAUUUGCCCCAAUUUGUGUAUCUUAGUCACUCUUAUGUUGGAGGGUUCCCUCAAAUAUUCGAUGGUUCUUGAUGGUGGUUCACAGUUCCAGAUGAAGCACUGAAAUCUAUUUGAAAGUAUUGAGCAUAGGGUGGGGUUUGAAGACAGGUGGGCUACACCAAAGCCAUUGCACCAGCAAACAAAUACCUGAUUUUGUAGCAUUUUUCUCUUGAGCUGGACUGUAUCUCAAUGAAGUCAUUCCUCCCCAUUCCUGCCAGGGGUGGGAGUGGGAACUGGGGAGGUAUAAUCCUUUUUCAGCAUCCUUCCAGCCAAGUUGGUUAAGGGAGAUGGGGUCGGAGGGGACAGGGACAGAUGGAGGCAUUCUGUCCCAUAUUCAGACUUCCACUGAAUCCACUCUUUGCUGUUACUUACCUGUCUUAUUUUUGUCCUUGGGGGAGGCUAGAUCCUAAUCCCCCAGCCUUCCUUAUUUAGCCUCUCAGUCUUCUUCCUCCUCACACAAACCGUCAACCCAUCUUCCGGUUUCCAGCCCCACCCAAACCACACCUCCACCCUCAAACACCACUCCCUUUCAGAGACUCGUGGUCCUGGAAUCCCUGAGCCUGUCUGAGGCUUCAAGAAGCCAAACAGCUCUUUCUUGCUGCUUCCAGUCUUCGCAGGUCUAGGUUUUUCUGGAUUGAUAGGUACUGUCAUAGGUAGAGGGGACAUAGAAAUGAGCAAGAUGUUCAGAAUCCAGUGAGGAAGACCAACAGGUAAGUAAAUAUAAUGUCUAAGUGUAAGCAUACAUGCUCAAUAAACACUAAUGCAGUGUCUAUCAUAUGUCAGGCAGUAUAUUAGGCACUUUCUUUGUUUUGUUUUGUUUUGUUUGGCUGUGCCAAGGCAUACAGAAGUUCCUGGACCAGGAAUCAAACCAUGCCACAGGAGUGAUAACACUGGGUCCUUAACCCACCUUGCCGCCAGGGAACUCCUGGGUGUCACUCCUUUCAUCUCCUCCCUCACAACUCCAAAUCUAGGGAGAGCAUCUCAUGUUGGAUCCAAGGAAAGAAAGAGGUAACUAGCAGUGUUUUUGAGCACUGUCUUCCACACGAGAGGACCAGGAGAAACUGAGUCUUGAAGACCUUGAUCCAUCACUGUCCCAAAAGACAGAAAACUCUUAGAUGGGCCUCUUUUUUUCACUUUUUCAUUUUUACCCCUUUCCUUUUUCUGGUCAAGAACAAAAAUGUACCCUAGCGUUGAAACCCCAGCUAAGGAAUGGUCAAGCGGACAUGGGCUGGGGUUGAGGAGGGGUUAGAUCUAGAGAGAUUUUUUUGGAAAAACAGAUCCACCCUUCCUCAGAGGAAGAUCAAGGGGGUCAUGUGGGUGAGCUUGGGAGAGAGAAACACACACACACAUAUACACCACACACCACAUAGACACACACACACACACACUCACACAGACACACAUAGACACACACACACACAUAUGCACAUGUGUGCAGCCCUCUCUGAACUUAAUCAGUUUUUCAGUUUGCGAAACCAUCUCUGAAACAGGAACUUGCCUUGGGUCUCCUGAACCAAGGGACACAAGUCAAGUUUUCCUCCUCACUGCCCACUUGUCCUUGGCAGCAGUUGGCCAGGCUGGUGGCUUCCUCUGGCUGCUGAGGAGGCAGCUCCCUGUGCCGAGAGCGUUUUUCCUCCCAAACGGGGCAGGUAAGUGGAGGCUGGGGUUUCUGGGGGCUCCUCUCACUUUGGUUGUCUAAGGAUGGAGUUCCCGCUGUAGCACAGUGGGUUAAGGAUCUGGCAUUGUCUCCAUGGCAGUGUGGGUUUGACCCCUGGCCCGGGAAUUUCCAUAUACUGCGGGUGCAGCCAAAAAAAAAAAAACCCCAAAAACAAAAAACAAAAAAUUUGAGGUGGAGAAGGUUUCGGGGGGAAUGGAGGCGCCCAAACUCCCCAUGUAUUAAGAGCGGGAGGUGGGGGUGGGGUGCAGACAGAGAUUCUGCCAAAUUACAGGCGUAACCAGCUAGAUCCGGAACAAUUCCCAAGGGAGGUCCUCCCACACCCACAGGAAGGCCAAAAAAAGGUUUGAAAUUCAAAUUAUUUUUGGUGCUUGGGACAUGGGAGGGGAGGGAAGGAGGGCAGUGAUAGUAAGUAGAACGGAAGGAGAAAGAAAAAAUAAAAGGCUUGGUUGGUAUCUUUCCUAAGAAGCAGCCUAGGACUGCAGCAAAGAUGAUGUGAUGUAGUUGGACUUGAAUAUUAUUUCCCCCUAUUAUGUAUCUGCUGGGCUAGCCUGUAAAGGAGAAAGUUCACAAAUUUUAUAUGAAUUUGGUGUCUGCCCUGAAAGCAGUGGCUUCUGCCCCCUCUCCUUUUUUUAGCCGCUAUUUUCGAGGUGACAGGGCAGAGACGUUUUGCCCACACCCUCCCUACACGCUGCCUUUGCUUCUCUCAAACGAAUUCCUGGUCCUGGUUUCCUCCAGAAGCUUUCGUCCUUUCAUGAAUAUUGCUGUAGUUUAUUGUUGUUUCAGCUUACAUUUUGGCCUUGGGUAAGAAGGAUGGGAAAAAUGUGGAGGGACAGAUAAAAACAGCCACCAUGAUGAGAGGUGAGAAAAUAAUAAUUACAUUUGAGAAUUAGGAGGAGGGAGAGAUAAAACUCUUGGACCAGGACUUUAGUCUUUUCAGGUCUCGGUUUUCCUUAUCUCUUAACAGGAAUAAUUAGGAUUAGAAAGGGCUGCCAGAUAGACAGAAGCUACUAAACACUCCAGUUAAAUGUGAAUUUCAGACAAACAGCGAAGCCAAAAUCUGACAUUACGAUUUUGUGUAUUUGAGAUCGUUCUUUUGUUUGUUUGUUUGUUUUCCUUUCUUGGCAGUACCCUCAACAUGCAAAAGUUCCCAGGCCAGGGAUUGCACCUGAGCCACAGCAUCGAUGCCAGAUCUUUAACCCACUGAUCCACCAGGGAACUCCUGGGGCAGUUCUUAAGUCAUCUCACUUGGUAAUAUUUAAAGAAUGGGGACCCGCAGGGCCCGUAGUUUUAAGAGAAUCAGUUUCUCCAUCUGCCUGAGAUGGAAAGAGCCAGUUUCAUGCACCAGUCUUCUUUGCUCCUACCUGCCCUUUCAUACCAGCCCUCUCGCUCUUCUAAAAAAGGAAAGAAAGCCAUCGCCCUUUGUUGUCAAAACCUUCAGGGCCAAGACAAGGGACUAGAAGAAAUAGCUGUGUUUGUGUUGAGAAAGCAAAAGGCUUUCAGAACUGGGAUAGAAAUCACUUCCCAAGGUGGGUAGUUUCCAAUUUAUGACUUGUCAUAAAACCAGGAGGAAAAGCCCUGGCCUGACCACUGAUGGAUCAUUACAAUAAUUGUUUGAAAAAUAGGCUUUAUUUUUUAGAGCCGUUUUAGACUCGCAGCAGAAUGGAACAGAAAGUACAGAGUGUUCCCGUAUGCUCCCUGCCCCCCCACCCCAGCACACACACACACACACACACACACACACACACACACACACACGCAGAGGCAUGCGUGAGCAUGUGCACAGCCUCCCCCACAGAGUCAUUUUUGACAUGAUGUCUGACCGGCAACUCAAAGGAGUUCAAACAAGCGAAGAGCCCUGCCAAAUUCGGCGCUGCUGAAAAACAGAUUUCAAGUUGCCUGGCAAAGGUGGGCUGGCGAGAUAUCUUCGCAUUGGGUUUGUGUUCACAGGCAAGUGAGUCAUUCCAGGCCCCCUUCUGAAGCCAUGAAUCCAGAACUCUGUUCCAAUUUUCCUUCUCUCUCAUCAGCCCUGAACAUUUUCAUCACCAGACUCCUUAGAACCCCAACUCCUUGUGAAUGGGAACAAGGCUUCACAGGGCCUACAGUCAAGAAGAUAAGAGAUAGGGAUACCAUUGCUGCUAAGCCUGCUCCUUCUUGCACUAGUAAUACUGAUUGCUGGAUAUCUGAACUAUUUACAUAUCUAUGAAAAUGUACAACAAUACAUAUUUUUAAAAAUCCAUCCUCAUCCAUUGCAUGAAGAGAAUCAUUUCUGAUAGCAUUUUACUGUUUUUUGUUUGGUGAUCAAUAAAAUAUAUACGUGGAAUUCCCUUUGAGGCUCAGCAAGUUAAGAAUACGACAUAGUGUCAGUAAGGAUCACAGCAUUGCUGUGAGUUGCAGUGUAGGUCGUAGAUGCGGCUUGGAUCUGGUGUUGCUAUGGCUGUGGCAUAGGCCUCAACUGAAGCUCUGAUUGGAACCCUGGCCUGGGAACUUCCAUAUGCUGCAGGAGCAGCAGUGAAAUGGAAAAAAAUAAUUGUAAUGAUAACCUAGUCUCAAAGAGGGCUUUUAACACUUGAAGGCUGAAGGUCAUAGGAUAUAUUUUUAUUUUUUAAAUUGUAAAAUCAACAUAUAGAGGCAUUUCUGUUUCAGAAAAUACGAUAGGUAAUCAAUAAGAGAUAUUCAAAUACAUGAUGUUCAAACACAUGAUGUUCAAAUAAUAAAAGACGUCAUAAAAAUAUGACGUUUGGAGACACUUCUUUAGAGGAAGUGGAAUGAAAAUAUAGCCCAAGGAAAAAAGGGAAGGAUUUAACAUUUCUGACUAUUAAAGAACUGAAAAAGGAACGAUAUUGUCCAGUUCCCAUGGUACUUAGAUUCUAUUGGAUGCAUUUUAAAAGAGUGAUAGGAGAGGUUUAUUUAAAAUAUCCAUGUUAAAUAUCAGUAGAAUACAUCCUUUUCAACCACUCAAAACUCUGAUUACAAGUUACAGAUGUCAACUUAAAAAUGUGGUGGAAAUUCAUACCUCUCAGCAUUUUUAGGGGGUGUAGGUGAAGAAAAAUUUGAAGACCACUGCUUUCUAGCAUCAUCUCAUUCCUGCUCAUAAUAUAGUACUUAUAUUUCUAAAUCCUUUACAAAUUUGAACAAUAAAAAAUGUAGGCAUUUCAAGAGUUCCCAGGUAGCCUAUCGGGUUAAGGAUCCUGCCUUGUCACUGCAUCAACUCAGAUCACUGCUAUGGUGCAGGUUUGAUCCCUGGCCUGGGAACUUCCAUAUGCUGCAGGAGCAGCCAAAAGAAAAAAAAAAAAAGUGGGCAUUUUUACCUACAAUUUCAGAGGAUUCUGAGUGCAAAGUUCUUUGUACCUCAUCAUGCUGCUCAUCUACUCUGAAGUGGGUGGUAGUGACAGGGUCAUGAUACAAGGGUUUAAAUUGGAGAAACCAGAAAUAAAUCAGCCCCGAGACCUCACGGCUGAACUAUUUCAAGAAUAUGCAGUUACAUUUCAGCGGCCACAGUUUGACUCAUGGUGUGCUCAGUAACAUAUAAUUACAAGCUCUGCUCUAAGGGACUUCAACUUCUACCGUAACGCUUGCCUGUCACCUUCUGAGUAUAGGGGUGUCACCGCAGGGCUGAGUGGUAACUAAUUGAGAUGACCAACCCAACCCUGAUGCGCAGCCCGUCAUAGGAGAGUAACUUUCUCGCACACCAGCCGAGCUUCUGGUGGAGGUUUUUUUCGUUUUUUGUUUUUCGGUGGGUUUUUUUUUUUUUUUUUCUUUGGCCUGCUCGCAACAUGUGGAAGUUCUGGGGCCAGGGAUGGAACCCAUGCCACAGCAGUGACAAUGCUGGGUCCACAACCUUCUAGGCCACCAAGAAACUCCAUGGUGGAGUUUCCAUUUAAGAGAGGCAGACAAAUAAAUGAAAGCGGACUUCCCCUGUGGCCCACAGCAAAACUACGCUGCGUUGUCUCUGAAGUAGCUCUGGUUCGAUCCCUAAGGGAGAUAGACCAAGUUCAGGGUUGGUAGAUGCAAAUGAUUACAUUUAGAAAAAGGAUAAGCACUGAGGUCCUACUCGACAGUACAGGGACCUAUAUCCAAUCUCUUGGGACAGAACGUGAUGGAAGAUAGUAUUAAAAAACUAACGUUUUAUAUAUAUGUAUAGCUGGGUCACUCUGCUGUACAGCAGAAAUUGAUACAACACUGUAAAUCAACUGUACUCUAAUUUAAAAAAUUCUAAAACAUAAAAUAAACGAGUGGAAGCAUUUCCUGUGUCCAAAUGGCAGAGGAAGUCCAUGGGGGUGGUGGGGUGGGCGGUGGUUGGGAGCUCCAUUACAGGGGUUAUAGCAGUGGAGGCAGGCAAGGCACGAAGCACUGUUCUUCACACCAGAAGGGAAAAGUAAAUGUUAGUUCUUUUCUGUGAUGAGGACUUCGGAGAUUUAGUCUCUUAUCAAAUUUCAAAUACAAUAUUGUUAACUAUAGUUAACCAUGCGGUACACUCCAUCCCCUGAACUUAUUUAUCUUGUAACUGGGAGUUUGCAACUUUUGGCCCUGCCCACCCCACUGGCUUCGGUCAAUCAUUGAUCUGUUCUGUUUCUAUAAAUUAAAGGUAGGUUUGUUUGUUUGUUUAUUUAUUUAUUUAUGUCAGGGCUGUACCUGCAGCAUAUGGAAGUUCCCAGACUUGGGGGCAAAUCGGAACUGAAGCCACUGGCCUAUGCCACAGCCAUAGCAAAUCUGGAUCCGAGCUGCAUCUGCAACCUAUGCCACAGCUUGCAGUAAUGCACACUGGAUCCUUCACCCACUGUGCCAGACCAGGAAUCAAACCUGCAUCCUCAUGGCUACUAGUCAGGUUCUUAACCUGCCGAGCCACAACAGGAAAGUUUUUUAGAUUCCACAUGUAAUUGAGAUCAUACAACAUUUAUUUUUCUCUGUCUUUCUUCAUUUAGCCUAAUGCCCUCAAGGUUCAUCCACGUUGCUGCAAAUGGCCGGAUUUCCUUCUUUUUCAUGGCCAAAUAAUAUUUCAUUAUAAUAUAUAUUUCAUAUAUUUCAAUAUAUGCCACAUUUCUUUACCCAUUCAUUUGUCAAAAGACACUUUGUUUCUAUGCUUCUAUUAUUAUUUAUGCUGCAGUGGACAUGGGGUGCAGAUAUCCUUUUAGACAGCGAUUUUGUUUCCUUCUGAUAUGUACACAGAAGUGGAACUGCUAGAUCACAUGGUGGUUCUAUUUUUAAUUUUUUGAGGAACCUCCAUACUGUUUUCCAUAGUGGCUGCCUCAAUUUGCAUUCCAACAGUGCCUGAAUGUUCCCUUUUCUCCACUUCCUGGCCAACACUUGUCAUUUGCUAUCUCUUUGAGAACAGCCAUUCUGACAGGUGUGAGGUGAUAUUUCACUGUGGUUGUAGUUUGCAUGCCCCUGAUGAUUAUCCAUGUUGAGCUAAUCAUGGUACCUGUUGGCUAUUUGUAUACCUCCUUAGGAAAGAGGUCUGUUUAGCUCUUCUGCCCAUUUAAAAAAUCAAAUCGUUUGUUUCUUCUUGUUGAGCUAUAUGAAUUCUUUAUAUAUUUUAGAUUUUAAUCCCUUAUCAGAUGUAUGAUUUGCAAGUAUUUUAUACCAUUACAUAAGCUGCCUUUUCAUUUUGUUGAUGGUUUCCUUUGCUGUGCAGAAGCUUUUUAGUUUGGUGUCACAACACUUUACUUUUACUUUUGUGGUCUUUUGCCGCUUCUGGUGUCAAAUUGAAAAAAAAAAAAAUCAUUGCCAAGACCAAUGUCAAGGAGCCAUCACACUGUGUUUUCUUCUAGUGUUUUAUGGUUUCAGGUCUUCAGUAUUUUAAUUUAGACAAUUUUCUUUUCAUGGACUUUUUAUUUGUAAGGUCUUUUCUAGGGACAUUAAAUAUUUCUUAAAAAUUUAUAAUUAUACAAAAGAAACAUAAUGCACACAACAUAAUAUUUUAAAAAUAGGAAGUUACUAUUGUGGCUUAGUGGUUAACAAACCUGACUAGUAUCCAUGAAGACGAGGGUUUGAUCCCUGGCCUUGCUCAGUGGGUUAAGGAUCUGGCAUUGCUGUGAGCCAUGGUGUAGGUCUCAGACAAGGCUCAGAUCUUGCGUUGCUGUUGCUGUGGCACAGGCUGGCAGCUGCAGCUCUGAUUCAACCCCUAGCCUAGGAACUUCCAUAUGCCGCCGGUGUGGCCCUAAAAAGCAAAAAAUUAAAAAAAAAAUAUAGGAGAGUAUGAAUGAAUCCUAUCUCCUCUUACUACCUGAGUGGUGAUCUCCUCGCCAGGGGCCACUCCUACCUGCAAAACCCUAGAAAGUUUCCACCUAAAAUAAAGGCACUGAUUGAAGUUCAACUGCUUUUUCCCACCCCAAAGUCAUCACUGAAAGUGAUGAAGAUUGUCUUGGGCACAUAUAACCUCUGGGAAUGCUUGUUAAUUUUUCUUUCCCUCCUUUGUUGUUGUCAGCUAAUCCAUUUAUAGACAGAGGAAUGAACUGCAUAAAGUCAUUCUCCUCCCCACCCCCACCCCCCAGCCCUGUCCCCAGCCAUCUCCACCAGCUUCUCCAUUCUCUUGGUUUCUCAUCUGCCGAGGACUAAGAAACCACAUACCUGGACUUUUUGAAAUUAGAUCUUUUGUCAGAAUCAAUCAGCCCACCUCAGAAAGGUGUCUCCAUGAUGACACAGGGACUGUUGGCUACUCAGAGCCCUUCUCCUUCUUACUUUCUGGUUUGGAGUUCUAUUCCAGAGACUGAGGUUACCAGAAGGUGACCUCUAGGUCAGGACCGUGUUCCUGUGUGUUUUUCCAGCAAGCCGGGACUGUGACAUCUUCUGACAUCAGAGGCUAGAGCGUUUGGCUACUUAUCCUUAAAACAUCCAUAACAUCAUUAAGUAUUAGGUGUGGGGAUAAAUUUAGCUUGUUAUUGUUUAAUGACUCAGUGAAAGAGUUAAGCCAGACGGGGCUUAAUCCUCCAGCUUCGUGUUACACUUAAUUUGAACAAAGUUUGACAGACAUGUGGAGUCAUCACACAAAUUAUGAUGAAAUUUGAAAGAAGAUUCCUUAGCCCAUGACUGGUCUCCAGUGACUCAUAAUGAGUUUCACUAGGUGUUGGUGUUCAAACUGCUAAUCAGGUUUUGUGAAUCUUUUCCAGUGGCAGGAGUUUUAAUACGAAUGGAUACCAAAUUGGCUAAAAUGUCUUGAAAAAUGUAUCCACAGACUGACAACUAUUUUUAAGUUGAAAAUGAAGUUAGUUCUAAGUUCUAUGUUUUUUUAAAUCACAAAGUGGCUCUGAGAUCUCUGAGAUACUUUAAACUUAAAAACUAGUAAGGGCCUACUGUGUAGCACAGUGUAGUCUGCUCAAUACUGUGUAAUAACCUAUAUGAGAAAAUAAUCUGAAAAAGAAUGGAUGUAUGCAAAAAUAAAUAAAUAUAUAUAAACAUAUAUAUGGUUAGUGAGAACCUACUGUAUAGCACAGGAAAAUCUACUCAAUACUUUGUAAUAACCUGUAUGGGAAAGAAGAAUGGACAUAUUUAUAUGUAUGACUGAUUCACUUUACUGUACACCUGAAACUAAUAUGAUACUGUAAAUCAACUAUAUUCCAAUAAAAUUACAUUAAAAAACUAGUUACUUGCUUAUAAAACUAAUAUUUUCCCCUGUAAUCAUAAAACAAUACAUGCUUAUUGAAGGAUACUUGGAAAAUUAAGAAAUAGAAAAGAUUUUUUUUAAUUAAAUAUUUGGGAGAUCUGGUGUGGUCACUGCUGUGGCUCAGGUUGCUGUUGUGGCGUGGGUUCACUCCCUGGCCCAGCAACUUCCACCUGCCUUGGGUGCAGCCAAAAAUAAAAAAUAAAAAUAAAUAAAAUAUCUGUUUACUCUUAUUGUUACUUUUUGAGCUUCGUAUCGUGUGCAUGUAUUUCCUAUUAACAAAAUAAUGGAAGGAUGUAAAUCCAUCUGUCCAAAUAUCCAGUUUGAUUGUCUUUGUUUUGUAAGUAUCAGCUUGUGUUGAGAACCACCUAUGUUAAAAGGCGAUCUGCUUCACUGACCACCAGAGGCAUCUCUUGGAACAAACCAGAUAGGGUUUAUUCCAGUUAGCAGCUCUGACUCUGUUUACUCCCAGUAUUUUCUAAUCCCAGCCCCCAUGUAGGCUCAGCCCUGAGGAAAUGAAUUACGAAACUAGUCUAAGCAAAAACAAAGUUAAAUAUCAACUAUAAUAAAUUUUUUUUUUUACAGUUAAAU